AGAGUUUGAUCAUGGCUCAGGACGAACGCUGGCGGCUUGCUUAACACAUGCAAGUCGAACGAUGACGCUGGAGCUUGCUCCGGUGGAUUAGUGGCGAACGGGUGAGUAACACGUGAGAAAUCUGCCCCUGACUCUGGGAUAACUGCGGGAAACUGUAGCUAAUACCGGAUACUUUCCCUGGUGGGCAUCCACUGGGGAAGAAAGAAUUUCGGUCAGGGAGGAUCUCGCGGCCUAUCAGCUAGUUGGUGAGGUAACGGCUCACCAAGGCGACGACGGGUAACCGGCCUGAAAGGGUGACCGGUCACACUGGGACUGAGACACGGCCCAGACUCCUACGGGAGGCAGCAGUGGGGAAUAUUGCACAAUGGGCGCAAGCCUGAUGCAGCAACGCCGCGUGAGGGAUGAAGGCCUUCGGGUUGUAAACCUCUUUUAGCAGGGAAGAAGCGAAAGUGACGGUACCUGCAGAAAAAGCACCGGCUAACUACGUGCCAGCAGCCGCGGUAAUACGUAGGGUGCAAGCGUUGUCCGGAAUUAUUGGGCGUAAAGAGCUCGUAGGCGGUUUGUCACGUCUGCUGUGAAAAUCCAAGGCUCAACCUUGGACUUGCAGUGGGUACGGGCAGGCUAGAGUGCGGUAGGGGAGAUGGGAAUUCCUGGUGUAGCGGUGGAAUGCGCAGAUAUCAGGAGGAACACCAAUGGCGAAGGCACAUCUCUGGGCCGUAACUGACGCUGAGGAGCGAAAGCGUGGGGAGCGAACAGGAUUAGAUACCCUGGUAGUCCACGCCGUAAACGGUGGGUGCUAGCUGUGGGCCACAUUCCACGUGGUCCGUGACGAAGUUAACACAUUAAGCACCCCGCCUGGGGAGUACGGCCGCAAGGCUAAAACUCAAAGGAAUUGACGGGGGCCCGCACAAGCGGCGGAGCAUGCGGAUUAAUUCGAUGCAACGCGAAGAACCUUACCAAGGCUUGACAUAUAGAGGAAAAGUGCAGAAAUGCACUCCCCGCAAGGUCUCUAUACAGGUGGUGCAUGGUUGUCGUCAGCUCGUGUCGUGAGAUGUUGGGUUAAGUCCCGCAACGAGCGCAACCCUCGUCCUAUGUUGCCAGCACGUAAUGGUGGGAACUCAUGGGAUACUGCCGGGGUCAACUCGGAGGAAGGUGGGGAUGACGUCAACAAAUCAUCAUGCCCCUUAUGUCUUGGGCUUCACGCAUGCUACAAUGGCCGGUACAGAGGGCUGCCAUACCCCAAGGUGGAGCGAAUCCCAAAAAGCCGGUCUCAGUUCGGAUUGCGGUCUGCAACUCGACCUCAUGAAGUCGGAGUCGCUAGUAAUCCUAGAUCAGCAACGCUACGGUGAAUACGUUCCCGGGCCUUGUACACACCGCCCGUCAAGUCACGAAACUCGAUAACACCCGAAGCCGGUGGCCUAACCGCAAGGAGGGAGCCGUCGAAGGUGGGAUUGGUGAUUGGGCCUAAGUCGUAACAAGGUA
This 1482-nucleotide ribosomal RNA is filed under the name uncultured bacterium. RNAcentral describes it as "bacterial SSU rRNA". It matches the Rfam family "Bacterial small subunit ribosomal RNA". The record is from RNAcentral.